AUUGAACGCUGGCGGCAUGCCUUACACAUGCAAGUCGAACGGUAACGGGUCCUUCGGGAUGCCGACGAGUGGCGAACGGGUGAGUAAUAUAUCGGAACGUGCCCAGUAGUGGGGGAUAACUGCUCGAAAGAGCAGCUAAUACCGCAUACGACCUGAGGGUGAAAGGGGGGGAUCGCAAGACCUCUCGCUAUUGGAGCGGCCGAUAUCAGAUUAGCUAGUUGGUGGGGUAAAGGCCUACCAAGGCAACGAUCUGUAGUUGGUCUGAGAGGACGACCAGCCACACUGGGACUAAGACACGGCCCAGACUCCGACGGGAGGCAGCAGUGGGGGAAUUUUGGACAAUGGGCGCAAGCCUGAUCCAGCAAUGCCGCGUGCAGGAAGAAGGCCUUCGGGUUGUAAACUGCUUUUGUCAGGGAAGAAAUCUUCUGGGCUAAUACCCCGGGAGGAUGACGGUACCUGAAGAAUAAGCACCGGCUAACUACGUGCCAGCCGCCGCCGUAA
RNAcentral lists this ribosomal RNA (501 nucleotides) under uncultured bacterium. RNAcentral's name for it is "partial 16S ribosomal RNA". It matches the Rfam family "Bacterial small subunit ribosomal RNA", at positions 30 to 523 of the family's 1533-position model. The record is from RNAcentral.